Molecule: ribosomal RNA, 419 nt
Filed under: Harrimania kupfferi
Lineage: Eukaryota; Metazoa; Hemichordata; Enteropneusta; Harrimaniidae
Description: partial large subunit ribosomal RNA
Source: RNAcentral
ACUGUCCUCAGNGCCGUNUUCCGUCNUUCGCGAUNGAACCGGUNGGCGUCGUCCACGAAGGGGCGCUGGCGGUCAGCGWGGAGCGUCGGUCGCCCACCCGACCCGUCUUGAAACACGGACCAAGGAGUYUAACACGUGCGCGAGUCGCAGGGUCGANCGAAACCCUUGGGCGAAGUGAAGGUGAAAGGCGGCCCGGUCCGCCCGAGGUGGGAUCCCGUUCGCUCGAGGGCGGCGGGCGCACCACCGGCCGAUCUCGUCCGCUCUGUCGGUGAGGUCGAGCAGGAGCGCACGCGUUGGGACCCGAAAGAUGGUGAACUAUGCCCGAGCAGGGCGAAGCCAGAGGAAACUCUGGUGGAAGCCVGCAGCGAUUCUGACGUGCAAAUCGAUCGUCAAACUUGGGUAUAGGGGCGAAAGACUAA